Non-coding RNA from Stegodyphus mimosarum, 73 nucleotides. Lineage: Eukaryota; Metazoa; Arthropoda; Arachnida; Araneae; Eresidae. The record is from Rfam.
GCCUUCGUGGUGUAAUGGUCAGCACACUGAGCCGGUAUUUCAGAGGUCCGCGGUUCGAUUCCCAGCGAAGGCG